GUCCACGCCCUAAACGAUGUCAACUGGGUGUUGGGGAAGCGAUUCCUUGGUACCGUAGCUAACGCGUGAAGUUGACCGCCUUGGGAGUACGGCCGCAAGGUUAAAACUCAAAGGAAUUGACGGGGACCCGCACAAGCGGUGGAUGAUGUGGAUUAAUUCGAUGCAACGCGAACAACCUUACCUACCCUUGACAUGUCCGGAAGCCUGCUGAGAGGUGGGUGUGCCCGAAAGGGAACCGGAACACAGGUGCUGCAUGGCUGUCGU
RNAcentral lists this ribosomal RNA (264 nucleotides) under uncultured bacterium. RNAcentral describes it as "partial 16S ribosomal RNA". It matches the Rfam family "Bacterial small subunit ribosomal RNA", at positions 793 to 1055 of the family's 1533-position model. The record is from RNAcentral.